RNAcentral lists this ribosomal RNA (790 nucleotides) under uncultured bacterium. RNAcentral's name for it is "bacterial SSU rRNA". It matches the Rfam family "Bacterial small subunit ribosomal RNA", at positions 563 to 1358 of the family's 1533-position model. The record is from RNAcentral.
AAGGGUCCGCAGGUGGCCGUUCACGUCGAUGGUUAAAUCUCAGGGCUCAACCCUGAAACCGCCACCGAUACGGUUCGGCUCGAGCAUGGGAGAGGUACGCGGAAUUACCGGUGUAGUAGUAAAAUGCGUUAAUAUCGGUAAGAACACCAAAUGCGAAGGCAGCGUACUGGAACAUUGCUGACACUCAGGGACGAAAGCGUGGGGAGCGAAAGGGAUUAGAUACCCCUGUAGUCCACGCCCUAAACGAUGAAUGCUAGAUAUCGGGAGUAUCGACCCUCCCGGUGUCGGUUAAAAUAGUUAACACAUUAAGCAUUCCGCCUGGGGAGUACGGUCGCAAGACUAAAACUCAAAGGAAUAGACGGGGACCCGCACAAGCGGAGGAGCAUGUGGUUUAAUUCGACGGUAAGCGAGGAACCUCACCUAGGUUUGACAUGAAGCUGCAAGCCGCUAGAAACAGUGGCCGCCUUCGAGGGUGCUUCACAGGUGCUGCAUGGUUGCCGUCAGCUCGUGUCGUGAGAUGUACCGUUAAGUCGGGUAACGAGCGCAACCCCCGUCCCGUGUUGCUUUUUCACGGGAGACCGCCUCGGAUAACGGGGAGGAAGGUGGGGAUGACGUCAAAUCAGCAUGGCUCUUACACCUAGGGCUACACACGUGCUACAAUGGCCGGGACAAUGGGCUGCCAAGCCGUAAGGCGGAGCUAAUCCCAUCAAACCCGGCCCCAGUUCGGAUUGGGGGCUGCAAUUCGCCCCCAUGAAGCCGGAUUCGCUAGUAAACGCCUAUCAGCCACGGG